GGGGCUAGCCUCAAGGUGAGAGAUACGGAGGUAGAGCACUGAAUGUCCUAGGGGGUAUUGCACCUACCGAAGACUAUCAAACUCCGAAUGCCGUCAUCUUAUACUUGGGAGUCAGACUGUGGGUGAUAAGAUUCAUAGUCGAAAGGGCAACAGCCCAGAUCGUCAGCUAAGGUCCCUAAAUGUAAGUUAAGUGGUAAAGGAUGUGGGAUUGCACAGACAACCAGGAUGUUGGCUUAGAAGCAGCCACUCAUUCAAAGAGUGCGUAAUAGCUCACUGGUCGAGUGAUCCUGCGCCGAAGAUUUCCGGGGCUAAAACUUACUACCGAAGCUACGGCAUCAGUAAUGAUGGGUAGGGGAGCUUCCCAUACGGGUUGAAGCAUGACCGUAAGGACAUGUGGACAGUAUGGGAGUGAGAAUGUUGGCAUGAGUAGCGAGAUGUGGGUGAGAAUCCCACAGGCCGUAAACCCAAGGUUUCCAGGGGAAGGUUCGUCCGCCCUGGGUUAGUCGGGACCUAAGCUGAGGCCGAAAGGCGUAGGUGAUGGACAACAGGUUGAUAUUCCUGUACUACCGAUAACCGUUUGAGAGAAGGGAUGACACAGUAGGAUAAGCUAAGCACACUGUUGGUUAUGUGUGCCCAAGCAUUGAGGCAGUCAAAGUAGGCAAACCCGCUUUGAUAAUGCUGGGGAUGUGAUGGGGAGCGAAAUUUAGUAGCGAAGUAGCUGAUUUCACACUGUCAAGAAAAGUCUCUAUCGAGGUUAAAGGUACCCGUACCGCAAACCGACACAGGUGGGUGAGGAGAGUAUCCUAAGGCCAGCGAGAGAACUGUUGUUAAGGAACUCGGCAAAAUGACCCCGUAACUUAGGGAUAAGGGGUGCCACCAUCAGGUGGCCGCAGAGAAUAGGCCCAAGCGACUGUUUACCAAAAACAUAGGUUUCUGCUAAGUCGCAAGACGAUGUAUAGGAGCUGACGCCUGCCCGGUGCUGGAAGGUUAAGGGGAUCUGUUAGAGCAAUCGAAGCAGUGAACUUAAGCCCCAGUAAACGGCGGCCGUAACUAUAACGGUCCUAAGGUAGCGAAAUUCCUUGUCGGGUAAGUUCCGACCCGCACGAAAGGCGUAACGAUUUGGGCACUGUCUCAACAACAGACUCGGUGAAAUUGUAAUUCCGGUGAAGAUGCCGGAUACCUGCGACAGGACGGAAAGACCCCAUGGAGCUUUACUGUAGCUUGACAUUGGGUCUUGGUACUACAUGUACAGGAUAGGUGGGAGGCUUUGAAACCAGGACGCCAGUUUUGGCGGAGCCAUCCUUGGGAUACCACCCUUGUAGUACUGGGACUCUAACCAUAGGCCAUGAAUCUGGUCUUGGGACACUGUCAGGUGGGCAGUUUGACUGGGGCGGUCGCCUCCCAAAAGGUAACGGAGGCGCUCAAAGGUUCUCUCAGUACGGUCGGAAAUCGUACGUAGAGUGUAAAGGCAAAAGAGAGCUUGAUUGCAAGACAUACAGGUCGAGCAAGGAUGAAAAUCGGACUUAGUGAUCCGGUGGUUCUGCGUGGAAGGGCCAUCGCUCAACGGAUAAAAGCUACCCUGGGGAUAACAGGCUUAUCUCCCCCAAGAGUCCACAUCGACGGGGAGGUUUGGCACCUCGAUGUCGGCUCAUCACAUCCUGGGGCUGUAGUAGGUCCCAAGGGUUGGGCUGUUCGCCCAUUAAAGUGGUACGCGAGCUGGGUUCAGAACGUCGUGAGACAGUUCGGUCCCUAUCCGUCGCAGGCGUAGGAAAUUUGAGAAGACCUGUCCUUAGUACGAGAGGACCGGGAUGGACGUACCUCUGGUGUACCAGUUGUUCUGCCAAGGGCAUGGCUGGGUAGCUAUGUACGGAAUGGAUAAGCGCUGAAAGCAUCUAAGCGCGAAGCCAACUUCAAGAUAAGAUUUCCCACCGCAAGGGUAAGACCCCAGAAAGACUAUCUGGUUGAUAGGUCGAAGGUGUAAGUGCAGCAAUGUAUUUAGCUUAUCGAUACUAAUAGGUCGAGGACUUGACCAA
Molecule: ribosomal RNA, 2033 nt
Filed under: Clostridioides difficile DA00261
Lineage: Bacteria; Bacillati; Bacillota; Clostridia; Peptostreptococcales; Peptostreptococcaceae
Description: bacterial LSU rRNA
Rfam family: Bacterial large subunit ribosomal RNA
Source: RNAcentral